GGGGCGGUAGCUCAGUGGUAGAGUAUGGGAUUGCAGUCAAAACGUUUACGGCAACUUAAUCCUAGGGUCCCGUGUUCGACCCACGGUCGCCCCU
The sequence is a transfer RNA, 94 nucleotides long. It matches the Rfam family "tRNA". From Rfam's summary of the family: Transfer RNA (tRNA) molecules are approximately 80 nucleotides in length. Their secondary structure includes four short double-helical elements and three loops (D, anti-codon, and T loops). Further hydrogen bonds mediate the characteristic L-shaped molecular structure. tRNAs have two regions of fundamental functional importance: the anti-codon, which is responsible for specific mRNA codon recognition, and the 3' end, to which the tRNAs corresponding amino acid is attached (by aminoacyl-tRNA synthetases). tRNAs cope with the degeneracy of the genetic code in two manners: having more than one tRNA (with a specific anti-codon) for a particular amino acid; and 'wobble' base-pairing, i.e. permitting non-standard base-pairing at the 3rd anti-codon position.